RNAcentral lists this ribosomal RNA (369 nucleotides) under Triticum aestivum (bread wheat). RNAcentral describes it as "partial small subunit ribosomal RNA". Lineage: Eukaryota; Viridiplantae; Streptophyta; Magnoliopsida; Poales; Poaceae. The record is from RNAcentral.
AUGGAUGUAGAGGCUUUCGAUCACACUUAUGUUGGUUUGGAUGCUUUAAUGGUGAGUGGAGCACCUUUCGCCGAGAGGAGGGAUGGUCUGGGUUUUGAAGACCGCAUGGCCUGCUUAGUUCCUGUACCAGAGAAGCAGAGAGGGGUCGGGAGACCGACAAACUGCAGGGAGAAGGCACCGUAUGAGGGGCUGAGCAAGCGUACAAGAUUCUGCAACAUAUGUAGUCGAGAGGGCGAUAAGCGGACUAUGUGUCCUGAAAGAGGGGAUGCACCCAAAAAACCGCGGAGGCCUAGGAAGUGCGAGAAUUGUGGCAUGGAAGGACAUCGUCGGACCACUUGCACUAGGCGGAUGGGUGUUGCUGAAACAUGA